CAACACUCAAGCUCUGCUUGGUAUUGGACCACAUCAGUUCUGAUCGGUCUUAAAAUCAGUGGCGGUGCCAUCGUGCUCUAAGCGUAGUAAUACUCCUCGCUACAGGGUCUCGGUGCGUACUUGCCAGCAACCCUCAACUUUCUAA
RNAcentral lists this unclassified non-coding RNA (145 nucleotides) under uncultured fungus. Its description in RNAcentral is "sequence contains ITS2". Lineage: Eukaryota; Fungi. The record is from RNAcentral.